AUAACUGGUUGCAAGAGAGUAUCCUCGCAGAUCUUGGGGAACUGGUUUCGCUUGAAGUCCUAGAUGCCAGCUCCAACGCCAUGAGUGGAGUUGUUCCCACUGCAGGUACAGAAAUGGAUAUUUAGAAUGAACAUAGUUCAGUAAAGAAUUAGCAUCUUGUACAUGUGAUGAUUAUAUUUGUAACAUCUUGUACAUGUGCUGUUAUAUUUGUAACACUAUUGCAGUUUUAAAAAAUCUUACGAAUCUGAAGGAGCUGAAUUUGAGUGCCAACGGAUUCAGCGGAAGCCUUCCGGGGUCAUUACUUGAACUACCUCACCUUGAUCCCUCAGGAAGUUCGUUAGCAGGACGUACUCCAAUUAAUUCAUCUUUGGAGCCAGUUUCACUACAAGUAUUAAAUCUCAACAACAACAGGAUGAGUGGAGCUCUUCCAACCGAACGAGGUAAAAAUAAUGGACAUUUCAUGCUUGAUCAUAACAUCUGGGCAAGAUUUUCUAUGAUGCUGAUUAUAACUGAUUCAUUGUAUUCAUACUUUGCGCAGCAUUCGGAUAUCUAAGGAACCUACGAGAAUUGCAUUUGAGUUCCAAUAACUUCACUGGAAACAUUUCUACUUUCUUGCUUUCACUUCCACAUAUUGAACGAUUGGAUCUCUCGGGAAAUACUUUUGAAGGACCUAUCCCUAUAACUCCAUCUUCAAAUCUUUCUCUGUCUCUCAAAGGUCUUCGGUUUUCCCAGAACAAUCUGAGUGGUAAACUCUCAUUUUUUUGGCUGAGGAACCUCACUAAACUUGAAGAAAUCAACUUGUCAGGGAAUAUUAAUUUAGCAGUUGAUGUCAAUAUUCCUGGAUGGGCACCUCCAUUCCAACUGAAACAGUUAGCUCUCUCUGGUUGUGGUCUUGACAAAGGCAUAAUUGCAGAACCACACUUUCUACGCACACAACAUCAUUUGCAGGAGCUUGACUUGUCAAACAAUAACUUGUCAGGAAGAAUGCCGAAUUGGCUUUUUACAAAAGAAGCAACUCUGGUUAACCUAAACCUUGGAAAUAACUCGCUAACUGGAUCUCUAAGUCCCAUAUGGCACCCCCAAACAGCUCUACAAUCUAUUGUUAUAUCUACCAACCGUAUUACAGGGAAGCUACCUGCCAACUUCAGCGCAAUAUUUCCAAGCUUGUCCACUCUGGAUUUGUCAGACAAUAACUUUCAUGGAGAAAUUCCGAUGUCACUGUGCAGCAUCAAACACAUGAAGGACUUGAGCUUAUCAAACAAUAAUUUUUCUGGUAAAAUGCCGACUUGUGUGUUCACUGAUUUUCUUGAGCUGUGGACCUUGAGUGCCUCAAACAACCAGCUUGGAGGUCUGGUGUUUGGUGGGAUGAAAAAACUGUCCAUCGGGUUUGCAAUGCACCUACAGAACAACAAAUUUGAAGGAACACUGCCUCGUAAUCUGUCAGGAGCACUAGUAAUCAUGGAUUUGCAUGAUAACAGCCUGUCCGGUGAACUUGACACCUCAUUUUGGAAUCUGUCUAAAUUGCAGGUACUAGAUCUUUCUGGGAACCAUAUAACUGGCAGUAUCCCUCAAAAAAUUUGCAGCUUGGCAAGCAUUGAAAUUUUAGAUCUUUCAAACAACAACUUAUCAGGAUCUAUACCAAGAUGUGCCAGUGCAUCUCUAAGUUCGCUUAAUCUGUAUGGGAAUUCAUUAUCAGGAAACAUCUCGGAUGAUCUUUUCAACACAUCAAAUCUUAUGUAUUUGGAUAUGAGACAUAAUAAGUUGACUGGUAACCUCAAUUGGUUACGGCAUCUUGAUAAAAUCAAGACACUUUCAUUGGGAUGGAAUGACUUUGAAGGCCAAAUCACUCCAAACUUGUGUAAACUAAAGUGCCCAAGGAUAAUCGACUUCUCACACAACAAACUCUCAGGCUCACUGCCACCAUGUGUUGGCAACAUCUCUUGUGAGAGUGAUACGGCAGCUCAAAAUUAUUCACCAUUGCUACUUAUUUAUGUUAUAAUAGAGGCUUACAUAAUUGUUCAUGACCCAAUAGACUUCACCUUUGCUACAAAAGGGGGACAAUAUACAUAUGGUUACAACUUCUUCGAUCUGAUGUCUGGUAUCGACUUAUCCGGGAAUAUGCUGUCAGGAGAAAUUCCAUGGGAGCUUGGGAAUCUGAGCCAUAUCAAAUCCCUCAACCUGUCCAACAAUUUCUUCACUGGUCAAAUCCCAGCAAGCUUUGCAAACAUGAGCGAGAUUGAAAGCUUGGACCUUUCCCACAAUGAACUGAGUGGAUUGAUUCCAUGGCAGCUGACCAAAUUAUCGUCAUUAGCGGUGUUCUCUGUGGCAUAUAACAACUUAUCAGGAUGUAUUCCAAACUCUGGUCAGUUCGGCACGUACGGUAUGGAUAGCUACCAAGGCAACAGUAAUCUUCGGAGUAUGUCAAAGGGAAACAUAUGCUCUCCAGAUUCAGGAGCAGGUGACUUGCCAUCGGAAGGAAGAGACAGUAUGGCAGAUGAUCCAGUGCUCUAUGCAGUCAGUGCUGCCUCAUUCGUCCUGGCGUUUUGGGGCACCGUUGCUUUCUUGUUUUUCCAUCCACUCGGACGGCGUGCAAUUCUCGCGACAAGGAAUUUGGUGUUUUGGUGUGGUCAUUAACGAUUUGAAGUUUAUUUUUCUGUCAUCCAUUUCUGAUUGUGAAGUCUCCACUUACCAACUGCUUCAAAAUUCUUGAGUCUAUAAUUUUUAAUCUAAUGUCCAUAUUUUGUUUUGGGCCUGUCAUCUAAAUGUCGAUGUUGUGUAAAUGGCUGUUGAGAAAUGUAGCUUGCUAUAAGAUGAAUGAAUAUAUUAGGCUGCAAUUUACACAGGGCGCGCUUAAGUGCAGGUUUGCCCUAACCUCUGAUUAUCAUCAUAAAAUGAUUUCUCACCAUGACAUGGUAAAAAUAAACUUGUUGGCCCCAUUUCCCACAAAAUCCAAUUCGCAUCCCCGAAGAUUCUGAUUUUCUAAAUAUAAUUCAAAUUCAAAUGUACCUAUAUGGAUGUAUAUGGAAAUAAAAUCUAGGAUUAAAUACUAAAUAUACCUGUUUGGUUGUUAAAUUGGGGAAUGAUUCCAAAACUCUGUGUGCAUAUAUCGGAUGAUAUCCAACCGAAAUAAUCCAAGACAAAAGCAGCAAUAACACAGAGAAGAAGCAGAUCACAUACCAUCCAACUUCCUCCGGUCCUUGAAGUGACUACCCUAGGGUUGGUUCGCUGCUGUCUGCGCGGCUAUUGGUAGUUGCCGGGAGCAGGAUGGAGGAGCGGCGAUGCCGGAGGCGGGGCCAGGCAAGAGUGACGACGACCUAGGUUUGGCUGUAGCCAUGGACCCAUGGUGGUUGUGGUGGCGAGAGCAACGGAGCAAGGAGAGAGCGGAGAGGCGGAGAGGGGAGGAGACGCGGCGGAGGUGAAGCCGGCAACCAGGGCAGCAAUGGGGGAAGAAGAUGC
RNAcentral lists this long non-coding RNA (3456 nucleotides) under Oryza sativa (Asian cultivated rice). RNAcentral describes it as "long non-coding RNA (OSAT_LNC000871)". Lineage: Eukaryota; Viridiplantae; Streptophyta; Magnoliopsida; Poales; Poaceae. The record is from RNAcentral.